This 45-nucleotide non-coding RNA is filed under the name Echinostoma caproni. Lineage: Eukaryota; Metazoa; Platyhelminthes; Trematoda; Plagiorchiida; Echinostomatidae. The record is from RNAcentral.
GCAUUGCUGACGAGUCCCAAACAGGACGGAACGGCUGUCCAGUGC